Molecule: non-coding RNA, 91 nt
Organism: Acanthosepion pharaonis
Lineage: Eukaryota; Metazoa; Mollusca; Cephalopoda; Sepiida; Sepiidae
Source: the annotation of a GenBank genome assembly
UUGAAACAUCGGUUCCCGUACGAUCACCGAAGUUAAGUAACUUCGAGCCUGGUUAGUACUAAGAUGGGUGACCGCUUGGAUGUGCGGGUAG